RNAcentral lists this small RNA (513 nucleotides) under Oryza sativa Japonica Group (Japanese rice). Its description in RNAcentral is "misc RNA OsPOP21". The record is from RNAcentral. Lineage: Eukaryota; Viridiplantae; Streptophyta; Magnoliopsida; Poales; Poaceae.
AUAAAAAAGUAGAGGCCCGAAAAGAGCCCAAUACCCAAAGGAAUCCACCCAAGCCGAUGGUGGUUUUAGCCACGGGUCUCAGUCUCACUCCCAGAUUCUACUCCCGCUCCUCCAUCGUCGUCGCCGCGAGUUUGCUCCUCUCGGCGGCGCCCUCCUCGUCGUCCCCGCGCGCUCGUGCCGCUGCUCCGGCCAGCGGGUACUCCCCGUGGCGAGGCAGGUGAGCGGGGCUCUUCGAGUUCACGAGGUGUCGUUUUUUUUUUUCGGGGGGAUUUCUCCAGGAGGAUUAGUAGAGAUCAGGUGUGUCCUCCUUUGGAUCGCUUUUAUCUGUUCGAGCGAUUGCUUGGUCCGGUAGCGAUUCGGGUGUGAGACUGAGCCAUCUGCGCCUCUGUUACUGUUUCUGUUUUUUCCUUUAAUGGGGAUGGUUUUCUGAAAAUUAGGAUGGCACCCAGCGGUAUGAGAUUGUUGUGGAUUGUUUGAUUUCCUGGUGGUUGGUGAAGUCAGAAAUUGAGCAGU